CAGGUGGGAAGGUAAAGAUGACUGGAGAAGGCAAAAGAGGGCUAGAUCCUAUGAUGGGCUGUGUGCUCAGGCAAGGAAGGAAUGGAACUUUGCGAGCAUUGAAGAAAAGGGUGGCUGUGCUGAGGGAACUGUGUGGGAUUAACCCCGGAGAAACAGAGGCUGCGUCUUCACCCAAGGCCAAAUCACGGUGUUGACCUUGGCCACAUCAAUGUCUUAGAACUUCUUCACAGCCUGUUUGAUCUGGUGCUUGUUGGCUUUAAC
Molecule: long non-coding RNA, 261 nt
Filed under: Homo sapiens (human)
Lineage: Eukaryota; Metazoa; Chordata; Mammalia; Primates; Hominidae
Description: HSALNT0162581
Source: RNAcentral